CCUACGGGAGGCAGCAGUGAGGAAUAUUGGUCAAUGGGCGAAAGCCUGAACCAGCCAAGUCGCGUGAGGGAUGACGGCUCUAUGGGUUGUAAACCUCUUUUAUAUGGGAAUAAAAUGUUCCACGUGUGGGAUUUUGUAUGUACCUUAUGAAUAAGGAUCGGCUAACUCCGUGCCAGCAGCCGCGGUAAUACGGAGGAUCCGAGCGUUAUCCGGAUUUAUUGGGUGUAAAGGGAGCGUAGGUGGAUUGUUAAGUCAGUUGUGAAAGUUUGUGGCUCAACCGUAAAAUUGCAGUUGAAACUGGCAGGCUGGAGUGCAGUAGAGGUAGGCGGAAUUCGUGGUGUAGCGGUGAAAUGCUUAGAUAUCACGAAGAACUCCGAUUGCGAAGGCAGCCUACUGGACGGUGACUGACGCUGAGGCUCGAAAGUGUGGGGAUCAAACAGGAUUAGAUACCCGGGUAGUC
Molecule: ribosomal RNA, 460 nt
Filed under: uncultured bacterium
Lineage: Bacteria
Description: partial 16S ribosomal RNA
Rfam family: Bacterial small subunit ribosomal RNA
Source: RNAcentral